RNAcentral lists this ribosomal RNA (317 nucleotides) under uncultured fungus. RNAcentral's name for it is "eukaryotic LSU rRNA". The stretch from base 1 to 71 matches the Rfam family "5.8S ribosomal RNA", at positions 84 to 154 of the family's 154-position model. Lineage: Eukaryota; Fungi. The record is from RNAcentral.
GUGAGUCAUCGAGUCUUUGAACGCACAUUGCGCCCUCUGGUAUUCCGGAGGGCAUGCCUGUCUGAGUGUCAGUUUAUUCUCCAAUUUCUCUUGAACUUGUUCCAACAAGGACAGGAAAUGGGUAUUGAGUGAUGAAUUGUCAUGAUCCACACUUCAAAUCGAUUUGUAGGGCUGUCCGAACCACGCAAGCGUAGUAUAUACUUUCGUUGAGUCGUUUGGUGAUAAACCCUUAUACUAUACUUACAUCUUAACAAUACAUUUCGACCUCAGAUCAGGUAGGGAUACCCGCUGAACUUAAGCAUAUCAAUAAGCGGAGG